CCACCACCAAAGCAUUCUCUGGUGUUGAAGGCCCUGCAAAGCAGCAUCGCGGUGGCGGAGCGUCGUUUGCGACGCCCAACACACAAAACAAGCGGUGAGUGCUUUGGGGUGGGGUGACUGCGUACCUUUUGUAUAAUGGGUCAGCGACUUAUAUUCUGUAGCAAGGUUAACCGUAUAGGGGAGCCGUAGGGAAACCGAGUCUUAACCGGGCGUUAAGUUGCAGGGUAUAGACCCGAAACCCGGUGAUCUAGCCAUGGGCAGGUUGAAGGUUGGGUAACACUAACUGGAGGACCGAACCGACUAAUGUUGAAAAAUUAGCGGAUGACCUGUGGCUGGGGGUGAAAGGCCAAUCAAACCGGGAGAUAGCUGGUUCUCCCCGAAAGCUAUUUAGGUAGCGCCUCGUGAAUUCAUCUCCGGGGGUAGAGCACUGUUUCGGCUAGGGGGCCAUCCCGGCUUACCAACCCGAUGCAAACUGCGAAUACCGGAGAAUGUUAUCACGGGAGACACACGGCGGGUGCUAACGUCCGUCGUGAAGAGGGAAACAACCCAGACCGCCAGCUAAGGUCCCAAAGUCAUGGUUAAGUGGGAAACGAUGUGGGAAGGCCCAGACAGCCAGGAUGUUGGCUUAGAAGCAGCCAUCAUUUAAAGAAAGCGUAAUAGCUCACUGGUCGAGUCGGCCUGCGCGGAAGAUGUAACGGGGCUAAACCAU
Molecule: ribosomal RNA, 709 nt
Filed under: Salmonella enterica subsp. enterica serovar Virchow
Lineage: Bacteria; Pseudomonadati; Pseudomonadota; Gammaproteobacteria; Enterobacterales; Enterobacteriaceae
Description: partial 23S ribosomal RNA
Rfam family: Bacterial large subunit ribosomal RNA (bases 88-709)
Source: RNAcentral